UACAGAGGUCCCGAGCGUUGUUCGGAUUCAUUGGGCGUAAAGGGUGCGUAGGCGGCGGGGCAAGUCUGAUGUGAAAUCCCGGGGCUCAACCCCGGAACUGCAUUGGAUACUGCCUUGCUAGAGUACUGGAGAGGGAACUGGAAUUUACGGUGUAGCAGUGAAAUGCGUAGAGAUCGUAAGGAAGGCCAGUGGCGAAGGCGAGUUCCUGGACAGUUACUGACGCUGAGGCACGAAGGCCAGGGGAGCAAACGGGG
This 254-nucleotide ribosomal RNA is filed under the name uncultured bacterium. RNAcentral's name for it is "partial 16S ribosomal RNA". It matches the Rfam family "Bacterial small subunit ribosomal RNA", at positions 524 to 777 of the family's 1533-position model. The record is from RNAcentral.